RNAcentral lists this ribosomal RNA (470 nucleotides) under uncultured bacterium. Its description in RNAcentral is "bacterial SSU rRNA". It matches the Rfam family "Bacterial small subunit ribosomal RNA", at positions 8 to 526 of the family's 1533-position model. The record is from RNAcentral.
AGAGUUUGAUCAUGGCUCAGAACGAACGCUGGCGGCAGGCUUAACACAUGCAAGUCGAGCGCUCCGCAAGGGGAGCGGCGGACGGGUGAGUAACGCGUGGGAACGUGCCCAAAGGUACGGAACAACCGCUGGAAACGGCGGCUAAUGCCGUAUGUGCCCUACGGGGGAAAGAUUUAUCGCCUUUGGAUUGGCCCGCGUCGGAUUAGGUAGUUGGUGGGGUAACGGCCCACCAAGCCGACGAUCCGUAGCUGGUUUGAGAGGAUGAUCAGCCACACUGGGACUGAGACACGGCCCAGACUCCUACGGGAGGCAGCAGUGGGGAAUCUUGGACAAUGGGGGCAACCCUGAUCCAGCCAUGCCGCGUGAGCGAUGAAGGCCCUAGGGUUGUAAAGCUCUUUCACCCGCGAAGAUAAUGACGGUAGCGGGAGAAGAAGCCCCGGCUAACUCCGUGCCAGCCGCCGCGGUAAUAC